This 10147-nucleotide long non-coding RNA is filed under the name Gossypium barbadense (sea-island cotton). RNAcentral's name for it is "long non-coding RNA (GBAR_LNC009911)". The record is from RNAcentral. Lineage: Eukaryota; Viridiplantae; Streptophyta; Magnoliopsida; Malvales; Malvaceae.
GAAGAUGAAGUAGAGGAAGUGAUUGAGGAGGAGCAGGAUGGUGAGGACGAAGAUAUUCAUGAAGUUGAAGUAGAAGGUGAUGCCGAUGAUGAUGAGGAUCCUGGGCAGGAAGUGGAGCAUGCAGAUUUGGAUGAUGCAACCGAGCAUGAAGAGCGACAUGAAGUUGUCCAAGAGAGACGCAAGCGUAAAGAGUUUGAAGUGUUUGUUGGGGGCUUAGACAAGGAUGCUACCGAAGAUGAUAUCAGGAAAGUCUUCAACCAAGUGGGUGAAAUUGUUGAAGUUAGGUUGAUGAUGAACCCUCAAACAAAGAAGAACAAGGGCUUUGCUUUCUUGCGAUUUGCAACUAUAGAACAAGCAAAACGUGCAUAUACUGAACUUAGGAAUCCCGUGGUAAUUAUUCUGUUCUUCAAUAAUAUUACUUUUUUGAAUUUCAAAAUGGAUCAACUUUAAAACUUAACAAUUUUGUUCUAAUGACUGCAAUUCUAGAUUAAUGGAAAGCAGUGUGGUGUUACCCCAAGUCAAGACAGUGACACCCUUUUUCUGGGUAAUAUAUGCAAGACAUGGACAAAGGAAGCAGUAAGUACAUGGGAUUAUUUAAGGUCACUAGCAAGUGGGCCAUCUUUGUAAAUGGUUAUGAGUAGAUAACAUGUGUUUGUUAUUGACUUUUGUUCCAGUUGAAAGAGAAGUUGAAACAUUACGGAGUUGACAAUAUUGAGGACUUAACAUUGGUGGAAGACAGCAACAAUGAGGGAAUGAAUCGAGGCUUUGCAUUUUUGGAAUUUGCAUCCCGUUCAGAUGCGAUGGAUGCUUUUAAGCGUCUUCAACGGAGAGAUGUUUUAUUUGGGGUUGAUAGGCCUGCAAAGGUUUCUUUUGCAGAUUCCUUCAUCGAUCCAGGUGAUGAAAUCAUGGCACAGGUAAUUUACUAAAACAAAUUUUCUUCUAAUAUAAUUUGUGGUUGGGUUGCUAUGGUUUGGUCCCAAGCUCUCUUCCCUCACAAGCCUCUUGCCACUAAGCCAAGCGGUAGUUGGCUACAAAACAGUUUUUCUUUUUUGCUUUAGGUGGCAUGAACUACUGGGCUUGUUGGAAAUCAUAAAUGUAUCUUAUUAUGAGAGCUUGAUGAUUUUUUCUCCCAAGUUCAGGUUAGGACCAUAUUUAUUGAUUGCCUGCCUCCUUCAUGGGAUGAGGAUCGUGUUAGAGAGCUACUGAAGAAGUAUGGGGAGAUUGAAAAGAUUGAACUUGCCCGGAACAUGCCAUCUGCUGACAGGAAGGAUUAUGGUUUUGUCACAUUUGAUACUCAUGAUGCUGCUGUCACAUGUGCUAAGAGCAUUAAUAAUACCGAGUUGGGCGAAGGUGACAUCAAGGUUAGUCAAUGUUCUUGGUGUACCAUGUUGUUUACAUGACUUAACUAUUACCUUGUCUAAUGGUUAUUCUUUUAUUUCAGGCCAAAGUUAGAGCCAGGUUAUCGAGACCACAUCAAAGAGGCAGAAGUAAGAACGUCGGCCGUGAUAGUUUCAGGUCUGGGCGUGGAUCUGGACGAGUAGUUAGGGGUGCAUGGGGUCGUCCUGAUUCACGUGGUUUUGCUCCUCAUGGGAUGAGAGGAAUUAGUAGCCGUGCCCCUCCACCUAGUCUAAAGAGGCCUGUUGGACUGAGAGAUAGACGUCCUCUCAUGUCUGCACCAGCUAGAGGCAGGCCUUUAUCACCUCCCCCUUCUAGAUCCUAUGACAGAAGAGCCCCCGGUAUGGCUCUAUCCUGCUUCACGUCUACCUGAAUUCUUCGUUUUUCGAGAUUUAAAUUUCUUACUUCAAUCUUUUUUGACAGUUAUGCCAUAUCCAAAGGGUAGUUUAAAGAGGGAAUAUAGUCAACGCGAUGAGCUUCCUCCUCCAAGGAGCAGAGAAGUUAUGGAUUAUGGAUCUAGGGUUGUCCCUGAUAGACGAUCCACAUAUAGAGAAGAAUAUUCUUCUCGCAACCCGGGUUACUUUGAUUUGCCUAGAACCACAUCUCGUACUGCAGCGAGAAGACCCUAUGGAGAUGAUGCAUAUGCCCAAAGAUUUGAAAGACCUCCUCCUAGUUACCGUGAGGGGCGUGGCCGUGAUUAUGACACUAUAUCUGGCUCAAAAAGACCAUAUCCUGUUAUGGUUGGUCCCACAGUUCCUUCAAGUAAUUAUGUCAUCAUUGGCAUAUGAUUUAACAAUUUCCUAGCUGAUUAUGCCAUGUACUUGCUUGUUGAAUCAGGAUGAUGUCCCUCCACGAUAUGCUGAUGAUGGUCCGAUGCAUUCAAGGGCUCGUCUAGACUACGAAUUUGCUGGUGGUGCUCCUCCAUAUGUGGAUGCAUAUGGUGAUAGGUUUGUUAUUUAGGAGCUUUCUGGUGUUUAUUCUCUUUGUUCUGGAGCUUUAGUUAUCUUUUGUCUUAUUUUGAUAGGCUUGGGAGAUCCAAUCUAGGAUACGGUGGCAGCAGGAGUUCUAUAUCUAGUCAGACCUCACAUGGGCUAUAUGGCAGUCGUCAGGGUAUGGGCUAUGGUGGAGGUGUGUUCUAAGUUGCUGCUGACUUGUUAAAAUAGAAAAAAGAGGGUUUCCUCCCGGAUGGGGUGGACAUAUUGUUGGUGUUUUCUGGUUUAACGACUUACAUUUGGUCUGGUUUUCAGGUUCUUUUAGCAGCAGUGAUGUUGGAGGAAUGUACUCAUCCUCUGGUUAUGGUGGUGAUUACAUACCUAGGGGAUCUGGUGUAUGUCCUUUUCCUUCUUUCUUUUGUUUGAUAUUUUAAAAAUUAUACAAGCCUAUAUUGAUGUUCUUUUUCUGCUUCCAUGGCAGGUUGGUGGUAGCUCUUACUCAUCCAUGUACUCCAGUCGUGGUAUGGGUGGUAGCAGUUACAUGGGUGGUGGGGGUGGUUCUGGGUCAUACUACUGAUGUAAGUUAAAUUGUUUUUAUCCCUUUUACUUUUCGUGUUGUACUUGUGGAUGUGUAAUAAUUAUCUUCUGCAGUAGUAUGCAUUUCUAAUGUAGAUUAGGCUUCCUGAAGAAGAUGGUUUAUAUGUUCUGAGAGGUGUAUUAGCAAUGUGAAUUUGUCCAUGUAACAGAUUUCGGAGACAGUGAGGCUUCUGUAGGGUGUGGAGCAUUCGAAGCUUUGGUUUUGGUACCCAUGGUAUUGGAUAGAAGCAUGCCUAGUGCUAUAGCCUCCAUACAUAGAAGUACAAGGUUUUGAGGCUUAAGUUCAAUGUGAAAGGCAGGGUGCUGGUUCAAACUGUUUCUAGUUUCAAGAUCAGGUUACUUGUGAUAGUGAGUUUUCAAGUUUAUGGUGUAAGGAAAACUAAUCUUACGUAGAGAUUAAACAGCAAGUGCUUAGAAUAUGCUGUAUAUGAACAAUAUUUACUUUUGUAUUUAAGAACCCUACCAAUGGAUAAUUUGGAAGCUUUUAUCACGAACUCUACUGGGCUGAGUAUUAGAGCGAGGAUUAAGUCAUUAAUUUACAUUUGGUUAUGGAUUUUGGAAACUUUGGCAUGCUGAACUCAACUGGUAAGUGUUGAUAAAAUAAGAAACAAGGAAUUAACAUCUUUCCUUAAGGGUGAUAAGCACUAAGAGACUAAUGGUACCUAUACCUGAAGAUUAUGUGAAAUCUUUAGAGGAUAUUCUUGUAUGCUUUUUUUGUACAAGCAUAUUGCAAUUCUUGGAAGUGGUGUUUGUGAAGCCGUAUACAUGCCAGGAGGAAAUUAAAGACUUACUUAACCUGAUCUGGUAAAGCUUGUACACUGUAGACACAUACUAACUUUUGUUUUGGCUUGAUUUUUCUAUGGGAAUUCCCCUAAGAUGAAAUGGACUUGAUUCUAGUACAGGAAAGGACAUGGCUUCUUCACCUAACAUGUUUUGACUUUGUGGUCACUGUUGCACUUUUUAGUUCUUUUUGUUGGUAUCUUUCUUGAGAAAAGUUUCGUGUGUUCAAUUUUUUCAUUUUUCUGGUCUUGGGUUGUCCUUGGCCUUGUGGUAUAUGCUUGGCAAAGAUUUUGAACUUUUUGCUUAUGGACCCAUAGGAAAGUAUCUGUUUUGUACUGAAGGACCACUUCCUAAUGUCACGGCGGCUGCUAUUUCUUUUCUGCCUUGUUAUUGUUUGAUGAAGCAACUCUUUAUGAAGCUGUGCUCUCCAACUUGAGUUAUAUGGAUUUUGGGGGAAUUUUCUGUUUCUCAUUAUGAAGCAUCAUGAAAUGGUUUAUAGUUGUUUUGGCAAGUUGUUGGUAAAUGAAACCCUUGUGGAGGCAGUGCCUUAUAAAUUGGGCUUAGAAGAGAAAUGAUUUUGGAAAAGUAGAAUUCUAAUUUGCUCAGAAAUCAAUGAAGCUGUGGGUUUUUAUGUCAGUGAUUUAAAAAAUGCUUUUUUAAGAAAACAUACUGAGCACAACCUUUAGUUGGAGUUAGAAUGUGUUGAAAUCAUUGACUUUUUCUAAAUUGUACUUGAGAAUAAGUGAGUUGCCUUCCCCCACCCAAGUAUUUUAGUGAAGUUAUAAGUUAAUAAGAUACACUUUGAACUUUAUGCUAGAGAAGUGUAAAAAGUAUGGUCUAACAAGAUGUAUAAUGUCAUGUCUACGGGGACUUCAUUAUGUUCAAUGAUAUUUGGUCCAUGGGUGGUUUAUUCUCAGUUCAAUGUGAAUAUUUAAGCAUAACGUCAUUUAAAGUAUUAAUGUAGGAUCAAAAUUGUUAGUUAACAGGUGAAUGGUUGGCUGGCUCUGCCACCGUUACUGAGCUCUUCAAAGUUAAAAACUUGAUUGAUAUGCUUGUUCCAUCUCGCUUGUGCCGGUGUUAAAAAUAUUAGCAGGACUGCUACUUGUUUAGCAACCCAGCGCUUUGACAUGAUACUGGUGCUAGUUUUUGUAGUUUUUUUAUUCAUGUUAUUUUGGUCUCAAAUCAACUUGCGGGAUAGUGCAACAAGAAGGCAACUAUGAUGCUGUAUAUGCUAUAUUGCCUGUGGUGUUUUUUCUGGCUUGCUUUUUUUCCCCCUUUGGAAAUUUAGUUACUUUGGCAAGUAUAUGGAUUUAUUGGUUGUAUCUGUGCUUGUUUCCGACUUUGGGGGUCAAAAUCUUAUCUGCUCUGGGGCUGGCCUGCGAAAAGGAGAGGAUUACAAGUUACUAAUUCAGUAAUAAAAUUAGGGGUGAGAGCGUAACUGCAUGCCUUCAUGAACAGACUAGGCAUAAGAAAGAGCAGGCAAUAACCGUUUUUGAUGAAUGGCAGAACUUCUAUGGUAUACAUUGGCUCGUGGGGCUUUGCUGAUAACAUUAGUGCACAACUCUGUUCCCCAACAUUUUCUUAUUAUUUAUCUCUACUUUUUUUUGCCCUUAUAUCAAGUGCUCUUUUGUCCCUUUCUUAAUUAUUUCCUGGACUUGAUUUUGAUGAUGGGUGCAGCAUGCCGAUAACUUGGUUUAGAAAUAUUAUUAUUGAUCCAUUGUUAUUAUCGCUGACUAAAUUCCAAAUAAUAGUAAACUACUAUCUAUCGCAUAUACGCUCAUGAAUGAUGACUGAUCGACAUAAGAUGUUUAAUGGCUUUGCAUCUGAAAGUGCUAAAAUUUAAUGUUAAGACUGACGAUUUCAUUCCAGUUAUAUGUGUCCGCGUGUAUGUUGUAUAUCCAUGCAAAUCGAUAUACUUUUCUUCACCGAAAUCGAUGUUUUAAAUCAACACAAUCUUUGCUUUUCUUUUAUACGAAAUCCUUUCACUGGUAGCUUUGAAUUCAUGGGACAGUGUUUUCUGGGAGUGUCUUUCAACAUGUCAUCACUAAUUAGUUUAUGAUGUUAAUGGCCGAAAGAAAUAAAAGGAAAAUAGUUACAAAUUUUAAAGGUAAACGAUUAUGUAAGUUUUUAGAAAUAUAAAGGUUAAAAAAGCCUCAUUUGGUCACUUCCAUUUUUGAUAUUAGUAUUUUAAACAAAUAAAUUAAUUGUUGUCAAUUUUGAAAGUAUUGAUUUCAGUAGUAUGUCCAUCAAAUGUCACAAGCAAGUGUUAUGUAGUAAAGAAGUCAAGCUAAUACCUAAAACCAGUAAACCUGUUAUUCCCCAUUGCCAGUAAAAUUGCUGAUGAAAUUGGAAAGGUUGCUGCCUUGAUACUUGGAUCGAGGAUAAUAUUUAUCUUCACAUUUUGUACUUGGACGAGGAAUAUCCGACUAGUCAAUUGUUGUCCGCGCAGUAGUAAUCUCUUUGUAAACAAGAUAUGACCAAGCCAACGAAGAGCAAAAGAAUGUACAGAAUAAACGGCGGCAAUUCUACCAUAGCAAGACAUUCCCCUGCUAGUUAAUAUCAAGGGGCAUGUAUAAGACUAUACAACAUCUCAGCUGCCGAUUCAACCAAUUCAUUCUGUUCUUCAUGGAACAUAUCACCUAUAAAACCCAAAAAUGUGUACUUAAUAGCAAGAAUCAAUGUGCGUGGAUGACUGACAAGUUCAUAGAAACAAAACCUAACAAUUGCACGUGCCAAAACAACUAGUAAUUUACUAAAGGCUCAAUCAGGUCUUUAUGGAUAACCAUCCCACUAAAUACAUUUUCAAGUGGCUCAUUGUUGAACCAUGCAAAGUUGAUUGUUCAUGAAUCUCUUCUAAAUUAGUUAAGAAUUCACUUGCUUUCGAUCAUUUGUUUUUAUCUUCUAAAAGGGAACAUUCAGAGACUGCAAAAUUAUAACAAUCAUACAAUUUUAAUGAGGAGAAUACGAAAGUAGCAUCACAUAGUAUUGUUGCUAAUCUUGACAAUUGAUAUGUAACAAAAAUGCUGCUUAACCAAUUACACGAACAACUAACUAUUUGUAUUGACAGUGACAUGACACUACCAAAUCAUGGAACCUCCCCUAUAUGUACCAAAUAUUGUUAAGUGAAUAUGUUGGAUAUAGGUGUUAUAUCUUAAUGUUUUAAACAUAUUUACUAGUUUAAAUAAAUUAUAUAAUUACAAAUACAAAUUUUCUCGUAUAAAGGAAUCAAGAAUCAUUAGAAAAAAAAACCUCCCUAUUGGACUAGAAGUCUCAAUGUGCCAAUGAUUAUUGCUUCUUGCUUCUUGCUUCUAUAUAUUUAGGUGGAUUAUUAUUUUAUUAUUUUAAUUUUUCAAGGGAUUCAAUGAAGCGAACUCAAUUACUAAUUUUUUAUGUUUUGUAAAUUCAUCAAGAAUUAGAUAUAGAACAAUUUUUUUUUAAUUUUAUAAAUCAAGUUAAAAAAUUAUCUUACAUAUUAUCUUAUAUUGUUUAUUUAAAUAGCGAAAGGAUGUGUGAUGAGGUUUUAAUGCAGAAAACUCAAUCAUUAAUUACAACAAAUGAUGAUAUUUUAUUUAUUGUUGAUUUUAUUGAUUUCUUGAUCCAUGAGAUCUAAUUUUAAUAAUUGCAAUAAUAAUAAUUAAGAAAAAUACAACAGUUUCUUAUUGUGGAAAUUCACUUCUUAAUUGUCCGUAAAUUUUCUUUUAAGAAAGUAUAAUAUGAAUUUACAAAAUUAAGCGGAAAUUUUUAUAAGAACUUGCAACGUUACUGCUUUCUUCUGAGGAAGAUUACGGUACCAUAACCGUGCCACGUAAGAUUAGACGGCGAGCGAGGAAAGAUCCUAUGCGGCUAUGCUUCAGCUUAUACCUUAAGAACCAAGCAAACAAAUCAUGUUAGAUGAGGUGGUAAUGUCAGCUGCUUCACUUCCAUGCUUUCCACGUGUCUUCGUCUCCCAAUAUAGUUUAUUCCCCCAAUAGAAACACCUCUGUCUCAUUAAACUGAUAAUAAAAUGUAAACUCAUUUAAUAAUAAUAAUAAUAAUAACAUAUCAACACUUCAAAAAAAUAUCAGCUUAAUAAAUUAAUAAUUUUUUAAUUUAUAUAAAGAGGGGUAGACUGUAGAACGUGUCUAGAAAUUAAAACCAAAACUUUGUUAAUCAUGAUUUUAUUCAAAUAAUGACCGUAAAUUUAAUUAACGACACAUUCACAAUAUAUAUAAUAAAUUUCGAAAUUUGAUAUAAUAUUUAAAUAUAAAUUUCAUUAAAAUAAUAAAGUUGAGAUUGUAAAUUAUAAUAUUUUGACUAUCAAUUUCAUCGCUUAUAAAUAGUUAUUUUUUUUAAAAUUUACAUGAACAUACAAAAUUAUCUUCAAUUAACAUCUAUUGAUGUAAUGUUUAAAAUUACUAAUAAUCUCUACCCAUCCUUAAAUAGGAGUAUAUUCAUACUACGGUACAUUAGAAUCUAUUUUCUCUUACUUUAAUAAUAUUACUACCAAUCAAGCUAAUAUUCAAUUAAUAUAAUUUUUUGUAACUUUAUAAUUUAACAUCUCAAUUAAAAUUGUAAUAUAAUAUAGAUAGAGAGAUUAAUAAUAUUACAAAUAAGAAUGGUAUGCAUCUAAAAUUUUUAUAUUUUAAAAAAUGAAAUUUUUUUUUAAACGUGACUCAAAUUUCUGAUUUUUUUAUAAAAAUAAUAUUAAAAAUACAAAAUGGCAUGGGACAUAAAUUAAUUUUUUAUUAGUGCCAUGACUAUAUCAAGCGAUAUUGAUAUGUAUUUUUAAAAAAUAUCAAUAUUUUUAUGAAUAUACAUAUUAAAAAACAAAAAAGAAAAUUGCUGAAAAAAAUCAGCUGAAAACAAGAAAAUGAAAAAAAGAACAAAAAAAAGCUCGACAAACCAACUAAUGUUUUGUUUCACUGUGAGGGAAUUAAAUUAAAAGACAAACUUUGGGAAGUGAAACUAACAGACUAGCUACCGAUUUGUUUUAUUGUUAGGGGAAUUAAAUUAAAAAGAAAUUUUAGGAAGUGAAAUUAACCAUAAAUAACUAUAACUAUAAUAAACACAAAAACAAUUUCGGGUGGAGAAAAUUAAAUUAAAAAUAUGUAUUUUAAAAAAUUAAAAAAAAAUAUUUUCAGGCAACACCGAUAAAAAAAAAACUUCAACAGCUUUUUUUUUUUCUCUAUAUUAAAGAAGAACAGACCACAUUUUUCUCUCUAUUAUUUUUUCAAAAUAACGACCUAUAUAUAUAAAAUAUUAAACGAUGACAUAGUCCGUGCGCGCGCAUAUAUAUCUAAAUAAACCCGGAGACCAACCUCAAACCGUGUAUUAAAUUCACCCUAGAACCAAAUUUCCAAAACAAAAUUCACGUCUUUUUCCUCUUUGUCACUCUCUCUAUUCCCCCCAUGUCAUUCGCAUACUUAGGGUUAGGGUUUUUAUUGUGAUUUUAGAUAUUUCCUUAUUUACUUCUCUUCAAGUUAGAUAUUUAAUUUGGAUUCCGUUUCGACUUAUCUAGGAGUUCUCAUCAAUCCGUGGGUUUUAAUUUUUUUUCUUUGUUCUAUCGGAAGUUUCAAUUAUCCCUUUUUCCUUUAUCGAAUUCUGAUAUUUCAGUCGUUAGGUUUCUAAACAAUGCCUCCUAGAACCGUGAAGAGAGGAGCCGGGGCCGGUGGUCCAAAGAGAACGCCGAGGUCCACUAGAGGGGCAUCCAAAUCCGAGAAUCCACCAGCGGAGCCUGUACAAGAGGCCGUGAAUACAAAGGAGGCUUCAGUUCCAGUUGAGGAGCUCGUGGAGGCCGUUAAGGCCGUUGAGAAACCAACUCCGGAGCAAAAAUUGGUGAUCGUGGAGAAAGGGGCUGUUGAGGAGGAAAACACCGGUUUAAAUUUGAAUUCCAAUGGGUCGGUUGCGAUGAAGAGUAAGUCUUUUGUUUGCUUUUGGUUCAUCUGAUUUGCUUUCAAUCUGAUGGAUUUGGGCAUCUGCAAGUUUGAAAAUUAUAUGGCACGUCGCCAUUAUACAAACCUGUAGCUUUUAUUGUAGUUUUGUGGGCUAUUCCUGGAAUUUAGCAUGUUAUAAAGUGUCUGUUUUCCGUUGGAUCAUAUAUGGUAUCACAUAAACGUAUCCUUGUCCAUUUAUUUCCCUUUCCGAGAAUUUACAAGGUUCACAAUCAUUAUCUUUACGAGAAUUUGGUUUGUUGAGAUAUUUUUGUCUCUAUUAGAAUUUCGUAUCAAUUGCUUUAAGGUGAUUGCUUCUUGGCUGGCCUUGAUUAUUCUAUCCCUUCUUUGUCGCAGAAGAGAAUGACUCUAAGGAGCCUAUUGAGGAGUAUGGAAAAGAUGAGAGGUUAGAAUUGGAUGAUAAUGAACCUGAAUAUGAAGCUGAAGAAUAUGGUGGGGUGGAUUAUGACGAGAAGGAGAUGGAUCCUGAUGAAGUGGAAGAUGAAGUAGAGGAAGUGAUUGAGGAGGAGCAGG